GGGGCCGUGGGGUAGCUUGGCUAUCCUCCCGGCCUGGGGCGCCGGUGACCCGGGUUCAAAUCCCGGCGGCCCCACCA
RNAcentral lists this transfer RNA (77 nucleotides) under Thermococcus chitonophagus. Its description in RNAcentral is "tRNA-Pro". It matches the Rfam family "tRNA". From Rfam's summary of the family: Transfer RNA (tRNA) molecules are approximately 80 nucleotides in length. Their secondary structure includes four short double-helical elements and three loops (D, anti-codon, and T loops). RNAcentral also lists the same sequence under 5 other names. The record is from RNAcentral. Lineage: Archaea; Methanobacteriati; Methanobacteriota; Thermococci; Thermococcales; Thermococcaceae.